RNAcentral lists this non-coding RNA (28 nucleotides) under Mus musculus (house mouse). The record is from RNAcentral. Lineage: Eukaryota; Metazoa; Chordata; Mammalia; Rodentia; Muridae.
UCCAGUAUAUCACAAAACCUCAUUGCCU